Molecule: ribosomal RNA, 490 nt
Filed under: uncultured bacterium
Lineage: Bacteria
Description: partial 16S ribosomal RNA
Rfam family: Bacterial small subunit ribosomal RNA
Source: RNAcentral
AUUGAACGCUGGCGGCAGGCCUAACACAUGCAAGUCGAACGGUAACAGGAAGAAGCUUGCUUCUUUGCUGACAAGUGGCGGACGGGUGAGUAAUGUCUGGGAAACUGCCUGAUGGAGGGGGAUAACUACUGGAAACGGUAGCUAAUACCGCAUAACGUCGCAAGACCAAAGAGGGGGACCUUCGGGCCUCUUGCCAUCGGAUGUGCCCAGAUGGGAUUAGCUAGUAGGUGGGGUAACGGCUCACCUAGGCGACGAUCCCUAGCUGGUCUGAGAGGAUGACCAGCCACACUGGAGCUGAGACACGGUCCAGACUCCUACGGGAGGCAGCAGUGGGGAAUAUUGCACAAUGGGCGCAAGCCUGAUGCAGCCAUGCCGCGUGUAUGAAGAAGGCCUUCGGGUUGUAAAGUACUUUCAGCGGGGAGGAAGGGAGUAAAGUUAAUACCUUUGCUCAUUGACGUUACCCGCAGAAGAAGCACCGGCUAACUCCGUG